This 68-nucleotide transfer RNA is filed under the name Ectemnonotum fruhstorferi. RNAcentral's name for it is "tRNA-Phe". The record is from RNAcentral. Lineage: Eukaryota; Metazoa; Arthropoda; Insecta; Hemiptera; Cercopidae.
AUUUUGAUAGCUUAAAUUUUUUAAAGCGUAAUAUUGAAGAUAUUAAAAUAGUUUUAAACUUUAAAAUA